UAAAUGAUUGAUUUCAGAUCUUCUUUUGUGCUAUCUGCAUUCAAUGUUAUAAAUUUCCCUUUAAGCAUUGUUUUUAUUGCAUCCCACAAAUUAUAAUAAGCUAUGUUUUUAUUUUCAUUUAUUUCAAAAUAUUUUUUCACUUAUCUUGAGAUUUCUUCUUUGACCCAUGAUAUUUACACGUGUGUUGUUUAAUCUCCAAGUAUUUUGGCAUUUUCCAGCUACCUUUCUGUUACUGAUUUCUAGCUUAAUUCCAUUGUUAUCUAAGAGCAAACAUUGUAGGACUUGUAUUCCUUUUUUUUUUUUUUUUUUUUUUAAGACAGAGUCUCACUCUGUUGCCCAGGCUGGAGUAGAGUGGCAUGAUCUUGGCUCACUGCAACCUCUGCCUCCGGGGUUCAAGCGAUUCUCCUGCCUCAGCCUCCCAAGUAGUUGGGACUACAGGUGCCCACCACCAAACCUGGCUAAUUUUUGUAUUUUUAAUAGAGAUGGGGUUUCAGCAUGUUGGCCAGGCUGGUCUUGAACUCCUGAUCCCAAGUGAUCUGAGAAUUUCUAUUCUUUUAAAUGUGUUAAGGUAUGUUUUAUGACCCAGAAUGCAGUCUAACUUGAUGAACAUUCCAUGCAAGCUUAAGCAAAAAGACUAAUCUGCUGUAGUUUCCUCAUCUUUUUCAACAAACAUUUGAACCCCAUAGUCUCUGCUUUAAUAAUUCUAGUAUCCAUUCCAACCUACACCACCAUCAGUUCUAGACUGUACCUCUACACUAAAUGACCCCAGAUGGUUCAGCUUUAAGUCUCAGCUGUUUUCAUCAUUUAACUGAUUCCCUUGCUGGCAGCAGGGAAAUUAACUACCAGCCACACACUUGUCUCCAACAGCACCCACCGACCACGUCCUGCUCCCCUGUCAUUACCACCACUAAACCCGGUAGCAGAGAGAUGAGCUGUGAGGUAGGUGCCUUCUAGAUAAAUGAGGUGCUACUGGACAUGCACUGUGGUCUUCUCUGCAGUAGAAAAAUGUCCAAGGAAGGUCAGCAUCAUUGAUAGAAAAUAAAUGUGAGGCUGCAUCUCGCCAGCUCAUCCAUGAGCAAUUCCUUCAGCUCCAGCAGGCUACUGACAAUUUGCUUUUAACCCAAAUCCAGCUCUACCCUCCCUAAAGCAUGCACCUAGGGCCCCAGUCAGAAAAACAAAACAAAAACUAAACCAGACAGGAUAAUUAAGGAGGCAAAAAGCUUAAACCAUAAUAUUUUAAUUAAGCUGAUUUAUUUUAACCGUAGCACUACUGCUUUAUUUUAGUUAUAUACCAGUAAUGGAAAAUAGUGGCCACUUUUCAUUAUUAAUCAUAAGAUAAUUCAUUGUAUUUGUCUUUCCUAAUAAAAUGGCAUUAUAUUAAGGCCCAAAAUGUUUACUAUGGCCCAGUAAAAUAUAGGGUUGUUCUGUGAGCUAUUUCUUAGGAUAGAAAAUUAUUCCAGAAAGCUAUUAGUUCAAAAGUCUCUAGCAGUGCCAAGGUUUCAAUAGUCUCUUUAAUUUUGAAUCUAUGCGAUUGAAGAUAAGACUGCAUCUAGUUUGGGGGUUGCAUGUUUGUGGACAUUCAUGUUUCUAUGUACCUGGAACUUCUUAUUCUCACCAUCACACAGAAUUUUCAAGAACUAGUUAAGCAAAGAAAGCAAAGCCCAGCAGGUGUCAGAAUUGGGUCCCCAAGCUGAGGGUCAUUAGGGUGCAUGUCAGUGUGCCAACUCCAAUAUCCACACCUAGAGAACGCACAUCUUCCCAAAAGAAAUGAAGCACAGAUGAUACUUGAUCCUCAACUUUGUCUCCAGAAAUUUUUUCAGGAACUUGAGUUCUUUAUCAAAUGCUCACAUCCUACAGAGAAAUAAAGUGUUCCAUUUUCAAGGUUCAUGAAGCUCGUCAAUGCUGGGAGCAGGCACACACUUGUAUUUUUAUACUCAGGGAUCCCAACAGGCAACUAAAACUAGACAAGGACAAAACUCCACUCAAAAUAUUCUGAAAGUUAGCUGAUGCCCCAUAUUUUAUUACUCCAAAUGUGUAUUCACUUGCCUGAGUGCUGGCCAUGAGCACUCAGUGAACACUUGCAGUACAGUGAGUGAUGUCCUUGACAAGUUACUAUGAAGACUCUGAGAAAAAGUAACAUCCCCCACUGUCCUCAACAAGCCUGUAAUCCCAUGGCUGCCAGCCCUUACCAUGCAACAACACUGCGCUAAGUGCAUCGAACCACACAAAACCCUGUGAGAAAAUACUGCUUCCCACUUCACACGUGAAGUAACUGAGUCUAGUUUUAGAAAUACCUAAACGAAGAGGGACAGGCACAACAAAUUUGCUGGAAUGUAAAGAAAGUAGAUCAGUUUCUGCGUAAGCAGUAAGAAAUGGCCUCAUGAGGAAGAAAGGGACAUUUGCCCUGACAUUUCUCAAAGACUGCUUAGGUUUUGGAGACAGAGAUCCAAGGGCAGGCAAGCACAAUGGUUCAUGCCUGUAAUUCCAGCACUUUGAGAGGCCAAGGUGGGAGGAUUGCUUGAGCCCAGGAAUUCAAGAUUAGCCUGUGCAACACAGCAAGACCCCAUCUCUAUUUUAAAAAGAGAGAGAGAGAUCCAAAAGCAAAGGCAUUUCAGUUUGCAAGGCCAGCAUGGGAGAGGGUCUUAAAACAGAAACACACAAGGUAAGAUUGGGGGAUGGUACCUAGACCAGCCUAGGAUCAUAGGAUUUGAUAAAAUAUGCAUUUGGAAAACUGGUGCUAAUUUAUAGAGACUUAGAAUUUCAGGCUAAGGACAAGGACUAAGAAACGAAUAGCAUGAACAGUAUUAUUGAUAAACCCAUCAUUGCAUCUUAAAGGCUCUGAAGUCUUUAGUAUUGAAUUAAAAAAUAAUUUUCACUGGACAAAACCAAAAGGUCUUUACACAACUGUCAAGCACUUUGAAAUGAUUCAGCAAAAAGCAGAAUAAAUCACUAGUGGAAUUUCAAUAGCAUGUAGUUGUAAACCAUCAUGUGUCCAGCAAAAUCACAAAACAAGAGUUUAUUUUAGAAGGGACUUAGGGAUAUUAAGAAAUAUAACAUACAAAAUAACUAAAGUUUUCUCCAAGCAAAACCAAUGAUCCUUUAGGGAUGAACAGAAAGAAAACAAGAAAUGCUUCUUUCAAAAGUUGCUACCAAGGCUUCUAAGAUUUCUUUGGAAUAAAGUCACUAAGAUUUGCUUCUGAGGUCAAUCUUGCCAACUUUUCCACCAUGCUUUUUAGGAAGGAACACCAGGUAGGGCUCAAGUACUGGUUUGGCUCCUGUCCCAUUUUUUGGUCCUUUUGUAACUCCCUUUACUCAACUCCAAGUAUGUCUGUGCACGGACAAUGAGACGAAAGCAUGCUCAAUGCGAAAGCACAAAUUAUGUAUUGAGAAAUCACUACAAUGCCAAAUUUUUUUAAAAUAAAAAAAAAAUAUAUAUAUAUAUAUAUAUCUUUAAGAACUCGCUGUGUUAGGGAAACUGUUUACAUAUUGAGGUGUUCCUCUUUUUUUGACUGGAACAAUAAAAGAAAAAUUUGAUAUGGCCUUGGUUUCUUUUUUAUGUGUGUCUGUGUCCAAAGAAGUCGGCCUUUUCUACAAGUGAGAGCAUGAAUUGUUUCAAAGCGCAACACCCUGCCCCAGGGCCACUCAAGAUGUCAGGCAUAUCAGGCAUAACCCAAGGAUAGUACCAUGGGUUUGGAGUGAUCUUCUCUCUUCUUCCCUCCCACUCUUCCUCUCUCUCCAUCUCUUUCUUUCUCUCCCUAACUCUCUUGCUCCCUUUCCUCCUUCUCGCUCUCCCCCUCCUGUCUCUUUCCCCAUCUCUCCCACAAUGUUCUGCCUAUGGCCAGAUCCCAGCAAUGGGUCAGCUCCGCUCCUUUCCACACCUACUGACCCAAGUGGGACUCCUUUGAUACCUGUUUGUACCUUGCACUUCAUGGAACUUGAAAAAAACGAAAGG
Molecule: long non-coding RNA, 3952 nt
Filed under: Homo sapiens (human)
Lineage: Eukaryota; Metazoa; Chordata; Mammalia; Primates; Hominidae
Description: HSALNT0273418
Source: RNAcentral